CAGUAGCCGCGGGAAUACGAAGGGGGCUAGCGUUGUUCGGAUUUACUGGGCGUAAAGGGUGCGUAGGCGGAUUGUUAAGUCAGGGGUGAAAUCCCGAGGCUCAACCUCGGAACUGCCUUUGAUACUGGCGAUCUUGAGUCCGGGGGAGGUGAGUGGAACUGCGAGUGUAGAGGUGAAAUUCGUAGAUAUUCGCAAGAACACCGGUGGCGAAGGCGGCUCACUGGCCCGGAACUGACGCUGAGGCACGAAAGCGUGGGGAGCAAACAGGAUUAGAUACCCGGGUAGUCCCUGUCUCUUAUAC
This 301-nucleotide ribosomal RNA is filed under the name uncultured bacterium. RNAcentral's name for it is "partial 16S ribosomal RNA". It matches the Rfam family "Bacterial small subunit ribosomal RNA", at positions 509 to 807 of the family's 1533-position model. The record is from RNAcentral.